GGCCCGUCGCCUAGCCAGGAUAGGGCACCAGCCUCCUAAGCUGGUCUUUCGGGGGUUCAAAUCCCUCCGGGCCCG
This is a transfer RNA of 75 nucleotides. It matches the Rfam family "tRNA". Rfam says of the family: Transfer RNA (tRNA) molecules are approximately 80 nucleotides in length. Their secondary structure includes four short double-helical elements and three loops (D, anti-codon, and T loops).